GGAGCUGCUGGGCUGUUGGCUGGGCAAGGCUGGGCCUGGGAGGAAAGGAGGAUGGAGCUCCAGGUGGGGAAGUGGCCACCUGCCCUCUGCAGCCGGAGUUGACACCAUGUCCACAUCUGCUCAGGUGAACGUGUCCUUCUCACUCUCCCUGGAGCUGCUCUCCUAUCAGAAGCUCCCGGCCGACCAGACACUGCCUGGGGUGGACAUUCAGCAGAGUGCGAGUGGAGAGAGAGAGAUGGUGUUUACUCAGAACCUGCUCCUGGAGUACACCAACCAGACCACUCAGGUGGUGCCCCUGCGGGCUGUGGUGGCCGUGCCUGAGCUGC
RNAcentral lists this long non-coding RNA (326 nucleotides) under Pan troglodytes (chimpanzee). Its description in RNAcentral is "long non-coding RNA NONPTRT011354". Lineage: Eukaryota; Metazoa; Chordata; Mammalia; Primates; Hominidae. The record is from RNAcentral.